RNAcentral lists this transfer RNA (74 nucleotides) under Candidatus Nomurabacteria bacterium RIFCSPLOWO2_01_FULL_42_17. RNAcentral describes it as "tRNA-Trp". It matches the Rfam family "tRNA". From Rfam's summary of the family: Transfer RNA (tRNA) molecules are approximately 80 nucleotides in length. The record is from RNAcentral. Lineage: Bacteria; Candidatus Nomuraibacteriota.
GGGUCCAUAGUUUAGAGGUAGAAUUUCCCUCUCCAAAAGGGAAGACCGAGGUUCGAUUCCUCGUGGGCCCGCCU